UUUUCUUAUACGUAUUGGUUUUCUGUAAAAGUUUCAGUUUUAUAAACUUAUAAGAAAUUAAUUGGUUCAUUAAUAGAUCUAGACGAAAAUAUAUAAAAUAAUUCUUUUAAUAGUCUGCGAACUAACUUUUUAGACCUAUUUUACAAUUUGAUUUUGGCCCACUUUUUAAUAAUUUAACCCACUAUGUAAAUUUAAAAUUAAAUAUUGUUAACUAAGACGGCUGUGCUUUUGCUAUAUGGAAAGACUUUCUUCUCAUUGGUCAACUCAUAUGUCAUACGACGACUUCCGGAAAUUGGCGUCUCCAUAUUGAAUGCCCAGAGAUCUGUAUCUCUUCGUUACCGGUAUUUCAAUUUUUGUGUUUUUUUUUAUAAAAAAUGAGUUUUGUGUACACUGUUUGUUCGUAAAUUCUUGUUUAUGCAUCACUCAGCCUCUGCAAAAAACGCGAUUGAAUACUACAGCGGCAAUACGAACCGGCAGGGAUGUUAUUGAUUAACUCGAUGGCAGGUAAUGAAAUUUACUUAAGUAAAUUUUGCAGAUGGUGUCCCGACGAAUUGGAUCAAAGAGUGACGCUCCAGAGCACGAUGCUGCCUUCUUCCGUAGAGCAAACCUGGAUCAUCCCCCCAACUUGAUGUUCUGCCUUAGAUGACCUAUGUACCAUGCAUAGGGCCGUAUCCAAGGAAUCACCACCCUCUGGUUUACAAGCUAGGUGUUCUAAUGCUAGAGGCUUCGGCCGGAUACGACCUGGUACCCAAGCUGCGAGACUUCGUGCACGUAUUGCGUUGGACCUCGAGGGCGUAGGGGACGAGAUACGGAUACUCUUUAUGGAUAGAAAUUCGGGGUAGGAUACCCCAACUCAACCUAGAACCAACUAAAGAUAAUUCAAGUUCGUCGCUCAUUUAAAUCGAAGAAGAUUCCAGAUAAAAUAUUGCAAGACGCCUGUGAUUAGUCCUAGAGCUUCUUUGGAUUUUCCCAGGCACCGUCGAGUACUUGUUGACGUGUUAAGUACCAACUCUACAGAAUCGUCCGAUGUCCAGAGAGUUGCAGACAUUUUACAAUGGUCAAUGCAGUGCUCAUUAUGAGAAAGCACUUUUCUGCAGCUGAAUAUUCCUUCUAUAAAUGGAAUACUACAUGUUGAUGGAACAGCAGCUGUAGAUUGUCUUGACUUCACAAAUCUCAUAAUUGAUAAAACUACCAGCAUUCUUGUUAAAGGUAUUUAUUUUGCUGCUUUUGGCUGUUGCUUCAAUACCAAAAGGAGUCUAUAUGUAUAGGAGUUUAUUUUUAUUCUGGUACUGUUAUAAAACUUGAUAAUCUGGACAAACUUCAGACUUUAAAAAUGUCAUUGUACUCCAGAAAAAGUCAUAUAGCUGAUAAUUUCUCCAUUUCUAAAAUUAUGCUUUGAAUUUCAUUUAAAAUUUUGGUAAUAUAAACAAAUGAUCAGUUUAAUUACUGUUGUUAAUAAUUAUUUGCCAAUCAUAUUUUUAGUUAGAUUUGACUUACAUAUUUUGACACAAGUAACAAUUCUAAUAUGCUAUGACUACGCUGUUAUAAUUAUUUUUAUAUCUGUAUUUUAUUUACUAACUUUUGUAGUAUAUUACUUAUGACGCUUUUCAUAUUUUUGUUGAUUUUCCAGAUUAUCACAGUUCUUUGGUAUAUUUCACUUGCGCAAAAGCAUCACUAGAUUGUGGCAAUAUGAAUACAUUAUUUUUUAA
Molecule: long non-coding RNA, 1709 nt
Filed under: Sitophilus oryzae (rice weevil)
Lineage: Eukaryota; Metazoa; Arthropoda; Insecta; Coleoptera; Curculionidae
Description: uncharacterized LOC115887148
Source: RNAcentral